GACCAGAUAGCUCAGUGGUUAGAGCAUCCGCCUAGAGUGGGAAGGUCCUUGGUUCAAUCCCAGGUCUGGUGA
This 72-nucleotide transfer RNA is filed under the name Asterophora parasitica. It matches the Rfam family "tRNA". Rfam says of the family: Transfer RNA (tRNA) molecules are approximately 80 nucleotides in length. Their secondary structure includes four short double-helical elements and three loops (D, anti-codon, and T loops). The record is from Rfam by way of RNAcentral. Lineage: Eukaryota; Fungi; Basidiomycota; Agaricomycetes; Agaricales; Lyophyllaceae.